This 467-nucleotide ribosomal RNA is filed under the name uncultured bacterium. Its description in RNAcentral is "partial 16S ribosomal RNA". It matches the Rfam family "Bacterial small subunit ribosomal RNA", at positions 28 to 507 of the family's 1533-position model. The record is from RNAcentral.
GACGAACGCUGGCGGCGUGCUUAACACAUGCAAGUCGAACGGAAAGGCCCUGCUUUUGUGGGGUGCUCGAGUGGCGAACGGGUGAGUAACACGUGAGUAACCUGCCCUUGACUUUGGGAUAACUUCAGGAAACUGGGGCUAAUACCGGAUAGGAGCUCCUGCUGCAUGGUGGGGGUUGGAAAGUUCGGCGGGUUGGGAUGGACUCGCGGCUUAUCAGCUUGUUGGUGGGGUAGUGGCUUACCAAGGCUUUGACGGGUAGCCGGCCUGAGAGGGUGACCGGCCACAUUGGGACUGAGAUACGGCCCAGACUCCUACGGGAGGCAGCAGUGGGGAAUAUUGCACAAUGGGCGGAAGCCUGAUGCAGCAACGCCGCGUGCGGGAUGACGGCCUUCGGGUUGUAAACCGCUUUCGCCUGUGACGAAGCGUGAGUGACGGUAAUGGGUAAAGAAGCACCGGCUAACUACGUG